RNAcentral lists this ribosomal RNA (250 nucleotides) under uncultured bacterium. RNAcentral describes it as "partial 16S ribosomal RNA". It matches the Rfam family "Bacterial small subunit ribosomal RNA", at positions 524 to 773 of the family's 1533-position model. The record is from RNAcentral.
UACGGAGGGUGCAAGCGUUGUUCGGAAUUAUUGGGCGUAAAGCGCGUGUAGGCGGCUAUUUAAGUCUGAUGUGAAAGCCCGGGGCUUAACCGUUGAACUGCUUGGGAAACUGGUAGCCUAGAGUGAGGGAGAGGCAGAUGGAAUUGGUGGUGUAGGGGUAAAAUCCGUAGAUAUUAGGAGGAACACCAGUGGCGAAGGCGACUUACUGGACUGUAACUGACGCUGAGGCACGAAAGCGUGGGGAGCAAAC